This is an RNA transcript of Alnus glutinosa, 1747 nucleotides long. It is a transcript of the gene named zingipain-2, with no coding region annotated. The record is from RefSeq and is a predicted model, not a curated record. Lineage: Eukaryota; Viridiplantae; Streptophyta; Magnoliopsida; Fagales; Betulaceae. The transcript is spliced from 7 exons.
GUUUCACAACCUCUUUUGCUCUCCACAUUUGUUGCCUCUCACUACCAUCCAUACAGAAAGUUGGACCAAAGAACCAAAAUGAACUUUCGGUGCUCUUUCCUCUUCAUUCUUCUACUUUUCCCACUCCUCGCUUUAUCUUCUUCUUCACACACCUCCCAACUCUUCGAAACGUGGUGCAAAGAACAUGGCAGAACUUACUCUUCAGAAGCUGAAAGGCUGUACAGGCUCGGAGUGUUUGAGGACAACUACAACUUCGUUAAGCGGCACAACGAUAUGGGCAAUUCUUCUUAUACCCUCUCUUUCAAUGCCUUUGCUGAUCUCACCCACCACGAGUUCAGGGCCUCUCGCCUGGGAUUCUCGGCUGCUGGGAUGAAUUUCCAUCGGGGCCGGCCGCUUCUGACGCACGGUGUUGUUCGUGAGAUUCCUUCGGAGAUGGAUUGGAGGAAGAAAGGAGCAGUGACCCAUGUCAAGGAUCAACGGAGUUGUGGUGCUUGUUGGUCAUUCUCAGCUACUGGAGCUAUUGAAGGUAUUAAUAAGAUUGUCACAGGGUCUCUUUUAAGCCUCUCUGAACAGGAGUUAGUUGAUUGUGACAAUUCUUACAAUAGUGGCUGCGAAGGCGGGCUCAUGGACUAUGCAUAUCAAUUUGUGAUAGAUAACCAUGGCAUUGACACUGAGGAAGAUUACCCUUAUCAAGGUCGGGACAGGUCCUGCAAUAAGGAAAGGUUAAAAAGGCAUGUUGUGACGAUUGAUGGUUACACUGAUGUGCCACCAAAUAAUGAGAAACAGCUACUACAAGCUGUGGCAGCACAACCUGUGAGUGUAGGUAUAUGUGGCAGUGAGAGAGCAUUUCAGUUGUAUUCAAAGGGGAUUUUCACCGGCCCGUGUUCAACUUCUUUGGAUCAUGCUGUAUUGAUUGUAGGGUAUGGUUCAGAAAAUGGAGUUGACUAUUGGAUUACCAAGAACUCAUGGGGAACAGGUUGGGGAAUGGAUGGUUAUGUUCACAUGCUGCGUAACAGCGGCAAUUCACAAGGGCUUUGUGGUAUCAACAUGCUAGCUUCAUAUCCAACCAAGACUAGCCCAAAUCCUCCUCCCCCACCUCCCCCAGGUCCAACUAGAUGUGAUCUUUUUAGUUUCUGUGGAGAAGGAGAAACCUGUUGUUGUGCAAGGCGCCUUUUCGGAAUAUGCAUUUCAUGGAAAUGUUGUGAGUCGAAUUCUGCCGUGUGUUGUAAGGACCACCUUCAUUGUUGUCCAAAUGAUUAUCCCGUUUGUGAUACAAAAAGCAACCAAUGCCUAAAGCAAAAUGGGAACAUUACAAGAAUGGAAGCACUUGAGAACAGACGCUCUUCUGGGAAGUCAGGCAGUUGGAGCUCCUUUAUUGAGGCUUGGAUUCUGUAAAGACUUUCAGUCUUUACCAUUUCGAAGCAGCAAAUUGUAAUGGCCCUGUUGCCAUGUCUGUCCUUUUGUAUCAUAGGAUUAAAUAGUUCAGCCAACUGAAGAUGGAGGCGUGGAGCAUGCUUUGCCACCCUACAAUGAGGGAUCGUCGGGUUUCUCAAGCCACGAGAUGGCCCAGAUUUGAAACUUUCCUGCUGUCUUCGAGUCCUGGAGUGAUGCUAAUUUUUUAGUUUUGCUUCCAUUUAUUAUGUUAAUUUUUAUUGUUUCAUAAUAUGUUUUGCAUUCUGAGAUGCAUCUGGUGAUGCCCAAGCAUUUGGCGAAUUUUAACAAAAAUCAAGAAUAUGCGAGUAUGUUA